UUUGCCCACAGGAUUUCAAUAUCCAAAACCAGGCUUAUAUCCAUGUACUACAUUUAUCAAAAACUCAUUGUGCUGAUCUGUGUUGUAGGGGAGAUUGGUGUAUGCACAGCUUACUUAGUGUUGGAGCCUCCAAGGAUGUUUAAGAACAUUGAACAGCAAAAAUGUAAAGAUUAUCUUUGAAUGCAAUGAAGGUUCUGUAGAGUUUCUGUGCUCCAUUUUUGGGUUUGAUGUUCUCCUGGCUCUGCUGUGUUUUCUUACAAUCUUUGUGGCUCACCAGCUGCCAGAUAACUAUUAUGACGGGAAAUGUAUCACUUUUGGAAUGCUCGUCUUUUUCAUUGUCUGGAUUCUUUUGUCCCUGCUUACCUGAGCAUUAAAGGCAAAUUCAAAGUGGCUGUGGAAAUAUUUGCCAUUUUGGCAUCCAGCUAUGGCUUGUUAGGCUGUGUAUUUCUUCCCAAGUGCUUCAUUAUCUUGCUGAGGCCAAAGAGGAAUACUGAUGAAACUGUUGGUGGAAGAGUCCCCACUGUUGACAGGACCAUCCAGCUGACCUCAGCUUCUGUGAGCAGUGAGCUUAACAGCACCACGGUGUCCACGGUUCUGGAUGAGUAG
Molecule: long non-coding RNA, 606 nt
Filed under: Mus musculus (house mouse)
Lineage: Eukaryota; Metazoa; Chordata; Mammalia; Rodentia; Muridae
Description: long non-coding RNA chr3:64899156-64899762
Source: RNAcentral